GACGAACGCUGGCGGCGUGCUUAACACAUGCAAGUCGAGCGAAGAGAUCCCUUCGGGGAUUGAUUAGCGGCGGACGGGUGAGUAACACGUGGGUAACCUACCUCAAAGAAGGGGAUAGCCUCCCGAAAGGGAGAUUAAUACCGUAUAAUACCAUGAUUCGCAUGAAUUUUGGAUAAAAGGAGUAAUCCGCUUUGAGAUGGACCCGCGGCGCAUUAGCUAGUUGGUGGGUAACGGCCUACCAAGGCAUCGAUGCGUAGCCGACCUGAGAGGGUGAUCGGCCACAUUGGAACUGAGACACGGUCCAGACUCCUACGGGAGGCAGCAGUGGGGAAUAUUGCACAAUGGGCGAAAGCCUGAUGCAGCAACGCCGCGUGAGUGAUGAAGGUCUUCGGAUUGUAAAGCUCUGUCUUCUGGGACGAUAAUGACGGUACCAGAGGAGGAAGCCACGGCUAACUACGUG
Molecule: ribosomal RNA, 460 nt
Filed under: Clostridium sp. enrichment culture clone OTU196
Lineage: Bacteria; Bacillati; Bacillota; Clostridia; Eubacteriales; Clostridiaceae
Description: bacterial SSU rRNA
Rfam family: Bacterial small subunit ribosomal RNA
Source: RNAcentral